This 297-nucleotide long non-coding RNA is filed under the name Solanum tuberosum (potato). Its description in RNAcentral is "long non-coding RNA (STUB_LNC009370)". Lineage: Eukaryota; Viridiplantae; Streptophyta; Magnoliopsida; Solanales; Solanaceae. The record is from RNAcentral.
UUCCAGAAGCUUAAGCAAACAUCAUAAAUCUCCCAGUUAAGCAUUUAAGAAAGAAAAAAAAAACACUUUUAAUAUCCCAGAAGACGGAAGGCUAUUACACUGAUCUGAUUGAUUUCCAAAAGUGAAGCAGGAAAUUCAAUUUGAGAGGGGAGGGAGUAUAAUGUUUCUUAUUUUACAUCUUUUGUCCUUGGCUGAUGCUCAUAAACUGUCAACAUAGUAGAAAAUUACUGAAUAUGCUUUUUUCUGUUGCCUUUUCUUAUCUCCUUAACUUGCAGCACUCUUUAGCAAAUGCACGAC